Molecule: ribosomal RNA, 1189 nt
Filed under: uncultured bacterium
Lineage: Bacteria
Description: bacterial SSU rRNA
Rfam family: Bacterial small subunit ribosomal RNA
Source: RNAcentral
CCUUCAGGAGACGGAUCUGCGUCCUACCAGAUAGUUGGCGGGGUAACGGCCCACCAAGUCUAAGACGGGUAGCGGGUGUGAGAGCAUGACCCGCAUCACUGGGACUGAGACACUGCCCAGACACCUACGGGUGGCUGCAGUCGAGAAUCUUCGUCAAUGGGCGAAAGCCUGAACGAGCGAUGCCGCGUGCGGGAUGGAGGCCUUCGGGUUGUAAACCGCUGUCGAAUUGGAGGAAAUGCAUAGUGUAGAAUUAUGCUUGACUGAUAGUAGAAGGAAGGACGGGCUAAGUUCGUGCCAGCAGCCGCGGUAACACGAACCGUCCAAACGUUAUUCGGAAUCACUGGGCUUAAAGGGUGCGUAGGCGGCGUUUUAAGUAAGGUGUGAAAUCCCACGUCUCAACCGUGGAACUGCGCUUUAUACUGGAAUGCUUGAGUAAGAUAGAGGUAAGCGGAACUGAUAGUGGAGCGGUGAAAUGCGUUGAUAUUAUCAGGAACACCAGUGGCGAAGGCGACUUACUGGACUGUAACUGACGCUGAGGCGCGAAAGUGUGGGGAGCAAACAGGAUUAGAUACCCUGGUAGUCCACACUGUAAACGAUGAAUGCUAGGUGUAGGAGGGAUUCACCCCCUCCUGUGCCGGAGUUAACGCAAUAAGUACCCCGCCUGGGGAGUACGUCGGCAACGAUGAAACUCAAAGGAAUUGACGGGGGCCCGCACAAGCGGUGGAGUAUGUGGUUUAAUUCGACGCAACGCGAAGAACCUUACCAAGGCUUGACAUUGAAUGACCACCUCAGAGAUGAGGUUUUCCCUUCGGGGACAUGAAAACAGGUGGUGCAUGGCUGUCGUCAGCUCGUGUCGUGAGAUGUUGGGUUAAGUCCCGCAACGAGCGCAACCCCUAUCCUAUGUUACCAGCACGUGAUGGUGGGGACUCAUAGGAGACUGCCAAGGACAACUUGGAGGAAGGCGGGGAUGACGUCAAGUCAUCAUGCCCCUUAUGUCUUGGGCUACACACGUACUACAAUGGUCGGCAACAGAGGGAAGCGAAGCCGCGAGGCAGAGCAAACCCCAGAAACCCGAUCUCAGUUCGGAUCGCAGGCUGCAACCCGCCUGCGUGAAGUCGGAAUCGCUAGUAAUCGCAGGUCAGCAUACUGCGGUGAGUACGAUCCCGGGCCUUGCACUCACCGCCCGUCA